GUACCUGAAGUCGGUGACCGUAAGGAGCUGCCUAGGGUAAAACUAGUAACUGGGGCUAAGUCGUAACAAGGUAGCCGUACCGGAAGGUGCGGCUGGAACACCUCCUUU
This 108-nucleotide ribosomal RNA is filed under the name Flavobacterium macrobrachii. RNAcentral's name for it is "partial 16S ribosomal RNA". It matches the Rfam family "Bacterial small subunit ribosomal RNA", at positions 1417 to 1533 of the family's 1533-position model. The record is from RNAcentral. Lineage: Bacteria; Pseudomonadati; Bacteroidota; Flavobacteriia; Flavobacteriales; Flavobacteriaceae.